GUCCACGCCCUAAACGAUGAUGACUAGUUGUUGGAGGAGUUAAAUCCUUUAGUAACGCAGCUAACGCGUGAAGUCAUCCGCCUGGGGAGUACGGUCUCAAGAUUAAAACUCAAAGGAAUUGACGGGGGCCCGCACAAGCGGUGGAUGAUGUGGUUUAAUUCGAUGCAACGCUAAAACCUUACCUACCCUUGACAUGCCAGGAACGCUCCAGAAAUGGGGCGGUGCCCGAAAGGGAACCUGGACACAGGUGCUGCAUGGCUGUCGU
RNAcentral lists this ribosomal RNA (265 nucleotides) under uncultured bacterium. RNAcentral describes it as "partial 16S ribosomal RNA". It matches the Rfam family "Bacterial small subunit ribosomal RNA", at positions 793 to 1055 of the family's 1533-position model. The record is from RNAcentral.